This 777-nucleotide ribosomal RNA is filed under the name uncultured Neocallimastigales. RNAcentral's name for it is "partial large subunit ribosomal RNA". It matches the Rfam family "Eukaryotic large subunit ribosomal RNA", at positions 23 to 634 of the family's 3401-position model. Lineage: Eukaryota; Fungi; Neocallimastigomycota; Neocallimastigomycetes; Neocallimastigales. The record is from RNAcentral.
ACACGCAUGACACACUGCAUAUCAAUAAGCGGAGGAAAAGAAACUAACAAGGAUUCCCCUAGUAACGGCGAGUGAAGCGGGAAGAGCUCAAAUUUGAAAUCUUAAAGGGUUUCCCUUUACGAAUUGUAGUUUAAAGAAGUGUUUUCUGUUGGAGUUUCGGUAAAAGUUCUUUGGAAUAGGACAUCAUAGAGGGUGAGAAUCCCGUAUUUGACCGUUACUUUCCAGCUGUGUGAUACACUUUCAAAGAGUCGGAUUGUUUGGGAAUGCAGUCCAAAAUGGGUGGUAAAUUUCAUCUAAAGCUAAAUAUUGGCGAGAGACCGAUAGCGAACAAGUACCGUGAGGGAAAGAUGAAAAGAACUUUGAAAAGAGAGUUAAACAGUACGUGAAAUUGUCAAAAGGGAAGCGUUUGACACCAGUGUUGUUUAGUUGAAAAUCAAUUCAAUAAUUUUUGAUUUUAAGUAGUAUUGACUUCAUCAGCUUGCUGCUUUCUUUUCGAAAAUUAUUGAAUGCACUUUUCAGUUAACAAGUCAACAUCAAUUUCUUUUGUUGUAAAAGGGUAAGAGGAAGGUGGCUUACGCUUCGGCGUAAGUGUUUAUAGCCUUUUACCUCUGCAAUCGGAGAGAUUGAGGUCAGCAGCGUAGACUCCUUCGGGGGUUAGAUACACUUGUGCUAAGCUAUAGCCUUGUAUAGACAACUUGUUGACUAUGCUCAGUCAUGUAGCUUACUCGCAUGUGCUAUUUUACCUACGCUUAGGAUGUUGAACUACUGAGACAUAGA